GUUAAUAUGGGCUUUUAGGAAAAGGGUUAGCCCGCCCCGCACUAAAAUUUUUAGCCCUAAACCCGCACUUUUCUAUCCGGGCCAAAAUAGAGCCGCUUAACUUUGGUACUUGGGUUUUAUCAGGGUUAACUUUUUUUUUGCAGCAAACAAAGAAAACAUCGUUUCUUCUCAUCUUUCUCGUAAUCAAUACGAAAUCGAAGGGUUUGAAGCUCUUUUGGGUGCAACUGUUGGAGUGGAGACAACGACUUGGAAUCAUGGAAGAGAGCAAUUUUUAGUUUUUAAUUUUAUGAUAAACAUACCAUUAUGAAUAAAAAUAUGUAAACUUUUAAAUUUUAAUUUCAUGAUAAACAUUUACAUUUAAAUUUCAGCUAA
Long non-coding RNA from Raphanus sativus (radish), 372 nucleotides. RefSeq lists it as uncharacterized. The record is from RefSeq and is a predicted model, not a curated record. NCBI's taxonomy places the organism in Eukaryota, Viridiplantae, Streptophyta, Magnoliopsida, Brassicales, Brassicaceae. The transcript is spliced from 2 exons.